Molecule: ribosomal RNA, 232 nt
Filed under: uncultured bacterium
Lineage: Bacteria
Description: partial 16S ribosomal RNA
Rfam family: Bacterial small subunit ribosomal RNA
Source: RNAcentral
CGGGUAGCGGAACACGUACAGAACCUUCCUUCGAGUGGGGAAUAGCCCGAAGAAAUUCGGAUUAAUACCCCAUAGUAUUAUGAAGUGGCAUCACUUUAUAAUUAAAGAUUUAUUGCUUGAAGAUGGCUGUGCGCCUGAUUAGGUAGUUGGCGGGGUAACGGCCCACCAAGCCUGCGAUCAGUAACUGGUGUGAGAGCACGACCAGUCACACGGGCACUGAGACACGGGCCCG